Molecule: long non-coding RNA, 1878 nt
Filed under: Gallus gallus (chicken)
Lineage: Eukaryota; Metazoa; Chordata; Aves; Galliformes; Phasianidae
Description: lncRNA (ENSGALG00010000086.1)
Source: RNAcentral
AAAACAAGAUGGCGGCGGUUGCCUAGCAACGGGGAGGGGACAAGAUGGCGGCGGUUGCCUAGUAACGGGGAGGGGACAAGAUGGCGGCGGUCGCUUAGCAACAGAUCUCCGUCAACCGCGGCCAUCUUGGCCGAGGUCUGUUCGGCGGCGUGUGACGUCACGCGGCAAGGUGUGACGUCACAGGGUGGCGUCACCGGGCGACAUCUCGACGAGCGACUCACACAGGAGACGACGGAGGGGUCAGAAACGGCUUUAAUGUGGGGUGGGGACGCGCUGCGUGCCCCAUAGCGAUCCAUAGGGACCCACAGAGACCCAUAGCGACCCAUAGGGACACACAGAGACCCACAGAGACCCAUAGGGACCCACAGAGACCCAUAGGGACCCAUAGGGACCCACUGUGCCCCAUAGGGACCCAUAGGGACCCACAGAGACCCAUAGAGACCCACUGUGCCCCAUAGCGACCCAUAGAGACCCACAGAGACCCAUAGAGACAUCCAUAAGGACCCACUGUGCCCCACAGCGACCCAUAGAGACCCAUAGGGAAUCACAGAAACCCACAGAGACACACAGGGACCCACUGUGCCCCAUAGCGACCCACAGACACUCAUAGGGAACCAAUAGAGACCCCACAGAGACCCAUAGGGACCCACAGAGACCCACAGAGACCCAUAGGGACCCACUGUGCCCCAUAGCAACCCAUAGGGACCCACAGAGACCCAUAGAGACCCACUGUGCCCCAUAGGGACCCAUAGAGACCCACAGAGACCCAUAGGGACCCACAGAGACCCAUAGGGACCCACAGAGACCCACUGUGCCCCAUAGCGACCCAUAGGGACCCACAGAGACCCAUAGAGACAUCCAUAGGGACCCACUGUGCCCCAUAGCGACCCACAGAGACCCAUAGGGACCCAUAGAGACAUCCAGAAGACCCAUAGGGACCCACAGAGACCCACAGGGACCCAUAGAGACACCCAGAGGGACCCCAUAGAGACCCCAAGACCCCCAUAGAGACCCCCAUAGGGACGCCAUAGAGACCCCAUAGACCCCCAUAAGGACCCCAUAGGGACCCCAUAGAGACUCCAUAGACCCCCAUAUGGACCCCAUAGGGACCCCAUACAGACCCCAUAGACCCCCAUAAGGACCCCAUAGGGACCCCAUAGAGACCUCAGGACCCCCAUAAGGACCCCAUAGGGACCCCAUAGAGACCCCAAGACCCCCAUAUGGACCCCAUAGGGACCCCAUAGAGACCCCAAGACCCCCAUAAGGACCCCAGAGGGACCCCAUUCUGCCCCACAGACCCCUCAGCACCCCAAUAAAUACCCCAAUAAAUAACUCCAAUAAAUACCCCCCCCAUAAAUACCCCAAUAAAUACCCCCCCAUAAAUACCCCAUCCAACAGUGUAGGGUUGGGGGGAAGGGGGCUCAGGGGGGCCGGGGGGGUUGGGGUCGGAAGAGACCGCCCCAUAGAGUCCCCAAGGCCCCCAUAGGGACCCCACAGAGACCCCAUAGAGACACGAGGACUCCAUAGGAACCCCAUAGAGACCCCAUAGGGACCCCAUAGAGACUACAGAACCCCCAUUGAGACCCGAAGCCCCCCACAGGGACCCCAUAGAGACCCAAAGCCCCCCAUAGGGGCCCCAUAGAGACCCCAGGACCCCCAUAGGGACCCCAUAAGAACCCCAUAGGGACCCCAUAGGGACCCCAUAGAGACCCCAUAGAGACCCGAAGCCCCCCAUAGGGACCCCAUAGAGACCCCAGGACCCCCAUAGGGACCCCAUAGGAACCCCACAGAGACCCCAUGGAGAGCCCAUAGAGACCCGAAGCCCCCCAUAGGGACCCCAUAGAGACCCCAUAGGGACCCCAUAGAGACCCCAGGACC